UUCACUGAUUAACUGAAUUAG
Non-coding RNA from Caenorhabditis elegans, 21 nucleotides. The record is from Ensembl. Lineage: Eukaryota; Metazoa; Nematoda; Chromadorea; Rhabditida; Rhabditidae.